UUUCAUUGGAUUUUUAAGUACUAAAUAUAAGACACAUUGAAGAGAAGUAUAAAAUUACCAACUGACUCAUUUCUGGUAAUUUAUCUACGUGUUUAAAGCAUUAGUGAAAAAGUCUAGAUCAUUGUAGUUAUUCUGAUGGAAUUUUUUAAUUGUCAAUUUGUGAAAAAGUGGAAUGUCAUCAGAUGAAGAAGCCCGUGCCUGGUUAAGAGAACAUUUCUUGCGUACUCUAACUAAGUUUAAUGGAAAGGAUGCUGUUUUUACAAUGCAUCAGAAUAUUACAGUUACUGGCCAGUAUGAGUGCUCAAGUGCAGAUUUAAAAUAUUUUCACGUAUCUGACCUAAAAACACCCCUGGGGAAUUGUAAACAAUCCCUCUUAAGAUCUAGAGAUGUAAUCAGCAUUGAUUUCAAAAGCCAAACUAAUUUGUUCCCUGAAUCCAUUUUGCAUGCUUUUGCAAAAGGUUGUGUACAGCAAAAUCAAUAAAUGUAUCUGAUUCC
Molecule: long non-coding RNA, 495 nt
Organism: Daphnia carinata
Lineage: Eukaryota; Metazoa; Arthropoda; Branchiopoda; Diplostraca; Daphniidae
Exons: 3
Source: RefSeq, a predicted model, not a curated record